GUUUAAUUCGAAGCAACGCGAAGAACCUUACCAAAUCUUGACAUCCUUUGACAACUCUAGAGAUAGAGCCUUCCCCUUCGGGGGACAAAGUGACAGGUGGUGCAUGGUUGUCGUCAGCUCGUGUUGUGAAAUGUUGGGUUAAGUCCCGCAACGAGCGCAACCCUUAAGCUUAGUUGCCAUCAUUAAGUUGGGCACUCUAAGUUGACUGCCGGUGACAAACCGGAGGAAGGUGGGGAUGACGUCAAAUCAUCAUGCCCCUUAUGAUUUGGGCUACACACGUGCUACAAUGGACAAUACAAAGGGCAGCGAAACCGCGAGGUCAAGCAAAUCCCAUAAAGUUGUUCUCAGUUCGGAUUGUAGUCUGCAACUCGACUACAUGAAGCUGGAAUCGCUAGUAAUCGUAGAUCAGCAU
Molecule: ribosomal RNA, 412 nt
Filed under: Klebsiella pneumoniae
Lineage: Bacteria; Pseudomonadati; Pseudomonadota; Gammaproteobacteria; Enterobacterales; Enterobacteriaceae
Description: bacterial SSU rRNA
Rfam family: Bacterial small subunit ribosomal RNA
Source: RNAcentral